CAGUCGCCACGGUAAUACGAGGGGAGCUAGCGUUGUUCGGAAUUACUGGGCGUAAAGCGCGCGUAGGCGGCUUUUUAAGUCAGAGGUGGAAGCCCGGGGCUCAACCCCGGAAUUGCCUUUGAAACUGGAAAGCUAGAAUCUUGGAGAGGUCAGUGGAAUUCCGAGUGUAGGGGUGAAAUUCGUAGAUAUUCGGAAGAACACCAGUGGCGAAGGCGACUGACUGGACAAGUAUUGACGCUGAGGUGCGAAAGCGUGGGGAGCAAACAGGAUUAGAUACCCGCGUAGUCCCUGUCUCUUAUAA
Molecule: ribosomal RNA, 301 nt
Filed under: uncultured bacterium
Lineage: Bacteria
Description: partial 16S ribosomal RNA
Rfam family: Bacterial small subunit ribosomal RNA
Source: RNAcentral